Molecule: long non-coding RNA, 426 nt
Filed under: Anser brachyrhynchus (Pink-footed goose)
Lineage: Eukaryota; Metazoa; Chordata; Aves; Anseriformes; Anatidae
Description: lncRNA (ENSABRG00000019046.1)
Source: RNAcentral
UGGAUGGGUGACGACCAAAAUCUUUGCAUCCGCUGCCACAGCAGCCAUGUCCUCCACUUCAGCGCUCACCCUGCUCGGCUAUGCAGCUCUCACAGCCCUCCUUGGGGGCUUUGCCCUGACCUGGGAUGAAGUCAGCUUUGGAGGAGGCGAUGCCGUGCUCAAAUUGGGCAAAAGCAAAUCUCCCUGGGAGCCACAGAUGGAGAAGACAUGAAGACAAAAUCUUGGAGCACACAUUUUAAAUGUACCCAGGCCCCCUCUCCCAUAUUACAUCGCUGACAAAAUUCUUGGAUAACAUUAGUCUGACGGCAAAAUGUAUAAAAUAGAAUUGAUUAUUAAUUCAUAAAGAGCUUUGAUAUCUUAUCUAUUGCUCAUCUCUUGUAAUGAUUUUUAAUGUCAUCAUGGUUUUUAAUUUUGCAUGAAACCCAU